GAUCAAGCGAAUAUAGGUUUAUGGUGGAUGCCUAGGAGCUGUGAGGCGAAGAAGGUCGUGAUAAGCUGCGAAAAGCCAGGGGGAGGAGCAAAUAUCUAUUGAUCCCUGGAUAACCGAAUGGAGUAAUCCAACAGGAGAGAUU
Molecule: ribosomal RNA, 142 nt
Filed under: Clostridia bacterium
Lineage: Bacteria; Bacillati; Bacillota; Clostridia
Description: partial 23S ribosomal RNA
Rfam family: Bacterial large subunit ribosomal RNA
Source: RNAcentral